CAGCAGUGGGGAAUCUUAGACAAUGGGGGCAACCCUGAUCUAGCCAUGCCGCGUGAGUGAUGAAGGCCUUAGGGUUGUAAAGCUCUUUCAGCUGGGAAGAUAAUGACGGUACCAGCAGAAGAAGCCCCGGCUAACUCCGUGCCAGCAGCCGCGGUAAUACGGAGGGGGCUAGCGUUGUUCGGAAUUACUGGGCGUAAAGCGCACGUAGGCGGACUGGAAAGUCAGAGGUGAAAUCCCAGGGCUCAACCUUGGAACUGCCUUUGAAACUAUCAGUCUGGAGUUCGAGAGAGGUGAGUGGAAUUCCGAGUGUAGAGGUGAAAUUCGUAGAUAUUCGGAGGAACACCAGUGGCGAAGGCGGCUCACUGGCUCGAUACUGACGCUGAGGUGCGAAAGCGUGGGGAGCAAACAGGAUUAGA
This 416-nucleotide ribosomal RNA is filed under the name uncultured Paracoccus sp. RNAcentral's name for it is "bacterial SSU rRNA". It matches the Rfam family "Bacterial small subunit ribosomal RNA", at positions 349 to 782 of the family's 1533-position model. Lineage: Bacteria; Pseudomonadati; Pseudomonadota; Alphaproteobacteria; Rhodobacterales; Paracoccaceae. The record is from RNAcentral.